CUUAACAUUUUUCUACAGCUGAAGAAAAAUGUAAAAUAUCACACGUAGCAGGGUCCUGCUGCUCAUGCCUACUACUCAGCUCACACAUGCAGCUCUCCAUGCGAGUGCUAGACAACACCUGAACUGGUCUAUGUCCUUUACAACAGAUCCCAUGCUUGAUGUUGCAACAAUAUCAAAUUACUGAGACCUUUCUGAAUUUGGGACUUGAUCUUGGAGGCAAUAUCAGACAGCGUUGCUAAGAAAGACUGGUUGGUGCAUGAAAAUAAAGACAAACAUGUAACC
Molecule: long non-coding RNA, 282 nt
Organism: Lemur catta (Ring-tailed lemur)
Lineage: Eukaryota; Metazoa; Chordata; Mammalia; Primates; Lemuridae
Exons: 2
Source: RefSeq, a predicted model, not a curated record